UAUGGGGACAAUACUGGCAUAGCUUUAGCACCCUAGCUAUGCCGGCAUAGCCCCAUGGU
RNAcentral lists this microRNA precursor (59 nucleotides) under Chrysemys picta bellii (western painted turtle). RNAcentral's name for it is "Cpi-Mir-9580_pre stem-loop". The record is from RNAcentral. Lineage: Eukaryota; Metazoa; Chordata; Testudines; Emydidae.